Molecule: long non-coding RNA, 1692 nt
Filed under: Canis lupus familiaris (dog)
Lineage: Eukaryota; Metazoa; Chordata; Mammalia; Carnivora; Canidae
Description: lncRNA (ENSCAFG00000054409.1)
Source: RNAcentral
AGUCAAGCUUCACCAGCACAUGUGCAGCGUCCUCCUUAACUAGUCAGGGAAACACAGCAAACACAAAUCGCAAGCUAACUCAUCUGCGGUCACUUCCACAGAGAACCACAGUUUUUGCAUUCAGUGUCUCUGGGAAAGGAACAAAAUGGCGUCUGGCAGGAGAUAAAGCUGGUGAGAAAGAGACCUAAUGAACUUGGUGGAGGCGCCGGAGACCAAGACCACACCCAUCAUGUCUCCUGCAAGUUUCUCAGUGGAAAAAUGAACCUUCUCCACCAGCAGGGUAUUUCACUUGUCCAUGAAGAGGAACCCUGUGGCAGCCUGGGCUCUGAGCCCUGGGCAGAGAGUCAAGAGACCAGAGCCCCGGAUCCAGCAGUGGCAAAGCCGCAGGCCCAGACAACCCCACUGCCUCAGUCUCGGUUUUCUCAUCCAUCAAAUACCCUGCAGCACUGGCUCCCUGGGUGCUUCCAAUUUCUCCUCGACUUUCUUGUGGAUGACUCAUAACCUGAUGUUUUAUAGGGGCCAGAGCAUUUGAAACACAUCAAAUAUAGGGUAAAUGCAAUUCAGACAGUUAAGCCACAUAGAACACCAAUUACAGACGUACAGAGAUUCAUUCCUUCACUCCAGGGUUUGUGUGUUGCUCUGGAAGUCAGGCUAAAUCUCCCCCCUGUUCCGAAGCACAGUUAUUAAGUGGACAUCGGUGAUGCAGCCUGCGCCUGACAUGGUCACUGCGAGAUGGAUCACCUGGGACCUCGAGGUCUCCACCCCCAUCCGCAAGUGCAGCCCGGGCGCAGGCUCCUUCAGAGCAGCCGUUUUGCCAUCUCAGUAUUAAAGGAAGAAGCAAAAUACAUCAGAGCUCCUAGGGAAGGAGGUAUUUGUGGCUUCUUUUUUUUUUCUUUCCCUGAAAAAGUUUUUAAAAAGUUAUUUAUCAAAUAUUUCAAUUGUACAAGAAGAUACAGAUAAAAAUAUAAAACAGUACACCUUUACCUUACCCAGGUUUUGUUUUUUUUUUUUCCUUACCCAGGUUUUAAGAUCAUUAACAUUUGACCACAUGUACUUAGAUUAAAAAACCACAAGAAGGAAGGAAGGAAGGAAAAAAACAUUUUAGUUGGAAUCAAAAUGCCUCCCUAAUCUCAACUGAGGACGUACUGCCUCUCCCCCAAGGUAAUAAUUUUUUUAUUCGUGUGCCUUUUUGCUGCUCAUGUUUUUAUACUUUUUCUACAUAUUUAUUCAUAAGUAUAUAUAAGUGUGUGUUUUAAUAUUUUACGUAAAGGCUAUGUCACUGAAAGUGACAUUUUGCAACUUGCACUUUUAACAGUACAUUUUAGAUGAAUCCAUGCUGAACUAGGUGGAUGCUUAUUCAUUUUAACUGAAUGUACUAUUUCCUUGUACGAUGUUGAAACCAUAAUUAUCAAAAAAAAAAAAGAAACCAUAAUUAUCUGUUCCAGUAUUGGAAGAUAUUAACCCUUCUAAUCGAGUCACAUGACAAGCAGUGGGGCAGGGGACCUGUACCUAUCUGAUUGGCAAAUAAGGGGAAAUUGAUUCCUUGAAGGUUGUGAGCACCUCCUACAUUAGCAGAGGUUGCGGAAUUGUUUUCCUAAGUGGCUCUGCACAUUGACACCCCAUUAGUAAUAUGUGAGUUCUUGCUGCUCAACAUGCUUGGUCACAUUUGGUAUUACCAAACUUGGAUUUUAG